Small nuclear RNA from Apodemus sylvaticus (European woodmouse), 104 nucleotides. The record is from RefSeq and is a predicted model, not a curated record. Lineage: Eukaryota; Metazoa; Chordata; Mammalia; Rodentia; Muridae.
GUCCCUUCAGCAGGACUCACACUAAAACUGGAACAAUGCAGAGCAGAUUAGCACGGCCCUGGUGCAAGGAUGAUAUGAAAAUUCACUAAGUGCCCCAUAGUUAA